ACGGAGGAUGCGAGCGUUAUCCGGAUUUAUUGGGUUUAAAGGGAGCGCAGACGGGAGAUUAAGUCAGCUGUGAAAGUUUGGGGCUCAACCUUAAAAUUGCAGUUGAAACUGGUUUUCUUGAGUGCGGUUGAGGUAUGCGGAAUUCGUGGUGUAGCGGUGAAAUGCUUAGAUAUCACGAAGAACUCCGAUUGCGAAGGCAGCAUACCAAGCCGUAACUGACGUUCAUGCUCGAAAGUGUGGGUAUCAAACAGG
RNAcentral lists this ribosomal RNA (252 nucleotides) under uncultured bacterium. RNAcentral's name for it is "partial 16S ribosomal RNA". It matches the Rfam family "Bacterial small subunit ribosomal RNA", at positions 525 to 776 of the family's 1533-position model. The record is from RNAcentral.